UUCCAUCUGAUCAUGGCCUGAAACUGGUGUUCAUUUUCCCAAAAUGUCGUUUUUCUGCAUGUACCGGCUCUACGUUUCGUUUCAUGCAGAAAUACUUCAGAACAGUAAUUUCUGAGCUUCUUCAUUGCAGUCCAAUGUGGACAUAGAUUUGUUGUUGUCAGCUGGCGAAAGGUGUUCCUCUUGCAAGCUUGCUACCUGUACUGGUUGUAGCUUUUGUGAUAGGUUGAUACAGAAAGAAUAUUUGUUUCACUUUAGAGUACUCUGCAAAGUUCAAAUGAUUUUGUAUUUUAAUCUUAAAUGGGUCAACUAGAUUCAUGUAAAUUUGUGUUUGAACAAUAGUUAUCAGAUAAUGUUGCCAUAGAAUAUUUGGGCAUUUCCAUGAUGAAGAUCCCCAACUAUCUUCACUUGACAUCACCCACUAUUGAGAGACAAUCCCAAGCAUUGAACAAGUUCUGCACAGUGCCGUAAGAGUUGGAUAUCAACAAAAAGAUUGAAAAUCAUUUACCCAUCACAAUCACAACUCAACUAGUGAUGAUUACCUAAAUUCUUUCCUCUCAUUUAGUGAUGCCCGUAACACUCCAGGUGAAAUUGAGCUCUUUGAAAUUGGACAACCAUGCCAAGGAUAAAUUCCUCUUUUUCCUGAACCGGCUGUACGUUUUGUAAGAAACACUUCAGAACUAUUUAGGAUUAUCAGUCUGGUAAAUAUAUGAGAUUCUUUGUUGCUGCCCAACAUACACAUGGAUUUGAUGCAGCCAGCUGAGGGCUUUAACUCUUGUUUAGUGUUUUAUGUUCGCGUAGUUGCUGUCCGAUGGGGCACGUUGUUGAAGCCUAUGCUGGUGAAAGAUCUUUCUACAUCAAGUUCAAUUGGCCGUUCCUUGGUGCUGAUGUUGUGUUACCGAAGUUGCAUAAUAUUUUGUUAAAUUGUCAUCGUGACUUGCAGUUUACCGUUUAUAAGUUCAGAAGCAACAAAAACAAAUAUGGGAUGUUCAUGUCAAACAAAUAAUAAACAUGUUUUUGGGGUUGGGAAAGGAAAAUGGUGGAUGUUGGAAGGGUGAGGGAGGAUAUUUCAAGUUUGGAUAAAAAUUCAGUUAAUCUAUAACCCUACAAACCUAUCCCUACCAAUUAAUCUCCAAACCCCACAAACAAAAUACCAUCUAAUCCUUCAAACCUCGAAAACAUACACCUACCAACCCUUAAAUCUAUACCCUUAACCCUAUAAACCAAUUUUAAACCUUAACCAUGUAUCUGUAAUAAAUUUAAAAAAUACACUAUAUGAAAAAACUUUUA
Daphnia pulicaria is the source of this 1287-nucleotide long non-coding RNA. RefSeq lists it as uncharacterized. The record is from RefSeq and is a predicted model, not a curated record. Lineage: Eukaryota; Metazoa; Arthropoda; Branchiopoda; Diplostraca; Daphniidae. The transcript is spliced from 8 exons.